AUACUUACCUGGCAGGGGAGACACCAUGAUCCCGAAGAUGGUUUUCCCAGGGUGAGGCUCAGCCAUUGCACCGCGGCUGUGCUGACCCCUGCGAUUUCCCCAAAUGCGGGAAACUCGGCUGCGUAAUUGGUGGUAGUGGGAGAUUACGUUCGCGCUUUUU
Small nuclear RNA from Tachyglossus aculeatus (Australian echidna), 160 nucleotides. RefSeq annotates it as U1 spliceosomal RNA. Lineage: Eukaryota; Metazoa; Chordata; Mammalia; Monotremata; Tachyglossidae. The record is from RefSeq and is a predicted model, not a curated record. The transcript has a single exon.